Molecule: ribosomal RNA, 309 nt
Filed under: uncultured archaeon
Lineage: Archaea
Description: bacterial SSU rRNA
Rfam family: Archaeal small subunit ribosomal RNA
Source: RNAcentral
CGGCUUGAUAAGUCUCUGGUGAAAUCCCACAGCUUAACUGUGGGAAUUGCUGGAGAUACUAUCAGGCUUGAGGCCGGGAGAGGCUGGAGGUACUCCCAGGGUAGGGGUGAAAUCCUAUAAUCCUGGGAGGACCACCUGUGGCGAAGGCGUCCAGCUGGAACGGACCUGACGGUGAGUAACGAAAGCCAGGGGCGCGAACCGGAUUAGAUACCCGGGUAGUCCUGGCCGUAAACGAUGUGGACUUGGUGUUGGGAUGGCUCCGAGCUGCCCCAGUGCCGAAGGGAAGCUGUUAAGUCCACCGCCUGGGAA